GGGGCGGUCGUGCACAGGAUUCGAGGGGACAACUUCGGCUGUGCCAACCUCUCUGUACUUCCUUCAUUCGAAAUUCAAACUCGAAAGUAGGGGGACUGGUGUUGGGUAUAAAAUACCCUCAGCCGAAGUUCUCAGCGGGAUUGACCCUUGCAGGUCCCCUCCGACUUUCGACUACUGGUGGACUCCGCCCAGAUUUCUACGGGAGCCGGGCUCCAUCCUCGACACUAACAGCUGCAGACAGACUUCGCCCGGACUCCUACGGGAGCCGGACUCCGCCCACGACUUCCACUGCAAGUGGACUCCGCCCGGACUCCUACGGGAGCCGGGCUCCGUCCCCAACUUUAACUGCUGGUAAGCUCCGUCCGGACUCCUACGGGAGUCGGACUUCGCCCCUGAUUUUAAUUGCAGGAAGACUCCGUCCGAAUUCCUACGGGAGCCGGGCUCCGUCCUCGACUCCAACGGCUGCAGAC
This 470-nucleotide long non-coding RNA is filed under the name Elaeis guineensis (African oil palm). RNAcentral's name for it is "long non-coding RNA (EGUI_LNC029135)". Lineage: Eukaryota; Viridiplantae; Streptophyta; Magnoliopsida; Arecales; Arecaceae. The record is from RNAcentral.